RNAcentral lists this long non-coding RNA (3109 nucleotides) under Gossypium barbadense (sea-island cotton). Its description in RNAcentral is "long non-coding RNA (GBAR_LNC011378)". Lineage: Eukaryota; Viridiplantae; Streptophyta; Magnoliopsida; Malvales; Malvaceae. The record is from RNAcentral.
CAAGUCGUAAUGCGCAAAGGUCAGUGUAGUCGAUCCCUGUAACAUGGGAUACUUUGACUAAGAAACUGUACUAAUUGGCCCAACCAAAAAUUCUAGAAAAAAAUAUGUAGAUGGGCAUAUGAGUCUAGUUUCAGGGAAAAAUCACGAAACUGAUUUUCAAGUUGUGAAACUCAAGAUAUGAUUUUUAAGGUGACAGUGACGCAGUUAGCCAACUGCCUGGAAAAUUUUUAAAAUGGACUUCAAUAGUAAGCGAAUUUAGUCUGUGAACCCCUCGUGUCCGACUCCGGCAACGGUCUCGGGUACGGGGUGUUACAGUAUAAGAUAAAAUAAUCCCAGAAAAAUAAUUAAAAUGGUCUUAUUUCAACCCAAAACCAAAUAAUAAUAUUAAUAAGAUAAAACUUAUAAAGAAAUAAAUCGGCUACUUGUUGCAAUUAAAAGAAACAGAACAUGUAGUGUGGCCAUCUCCGAGUCCCUCACAGCUCCAAACCAUCUAAGCUUAGGGCUUACCUGCAAAGUUAGAAACGGAGUGAGUUUACGAAAACUCAGUGUGUAAUCCCAAACAGCAAACAAACAGUAAAUAACACGGUAUCAGUACAAUCUGGGCCAAAGCCCUAUUUAGUCUUGACAUAUACUGGGCCGAAGCCUUUCCAUAAAUCAUAUCACUGGGCCGAAGCCUUUUCAUAAAUCAUAUCACUGGGCCGAAGCCUUUACUGUAAAAGGUAUGGCCCUUAGGCCCAUUUCAAUAUCACAUGUAAUGUCGAUGAAAGAGUGAAUGCAACCCCAUUUGGGGAGACUACUCGACCCACCAUUCGCUACUCUCCACCCGUACCAACCAACACACCAUGUGGGGAAUGACUCAGCCCACCCAACCAACACACCACUGGCAGCAUAGCUGCUUUAUCAUAUAACUGGAGGCCUAGCCUCUUUUAAUAACUGGGGCAAAAGCCCUUUCGGUAAACUGGGGCGUAAGCCCUUUUCAAUAAACUAAGGCAUAAGCCCUUUUCGGUAAACUGGGGCAUAAGCCUUUUCCAAUAAACUGGGGCAUAAUCCCUUUUUUGUAAACUGAGGCAUAAAACCUUUCCAAUAAACUGGGGCAUAAGCCCUUUUCAAUAAACUGGGGCAUAAACUCUUUUCAAUAAACUAGGGCAUAAGCCCUUUUCAAUAAACUGGGGCAUAAGCCCUUUUGCACUUCCUCCAUCCAUAUAAAACCCAACCCAUGCAACAUGUCAUGUAUGCAGAAUGUCAUGCCUAUAUUUGAAUCAAACAAUCACAGUCAAGUCAUUCAUAUCACCAACAUAUAUUCACAAUCAAAUCCGUCAACCACACAGUCCAAGUCAGUCACUUGCCCACAAGGGCAAAACAGUUAUUUUUCCCAUUAUAAGGGUAAUUUCGUAAUUUUACCAAAUAUCGGGGUUUUCCAUGUUCAUUAACAAUUAUCAAUAUUUUUUAGUGUUUAAACAAUGAUCUUUAACCCACUUUAUCAAAUUCGGCCUUUUGGGCCCAAAACCCCUAAUGGGCCCUACGAAUGCUGAUUUAGCCCAGUAAGCCUACUUAAUCCAAAUUUUACAACAGUACUAACCUUGUUAACAUGCAACUUUUUUAGAUUCCAUUUUCUAUCAGUUUUACCCAAAUGGGCCCAAAAGCCCAUUUGGCCCAAUUCCAGCCCAUUGAGGCCCAACUUACCAUCGUGCACAAAAUUGAGUUCUUACCCAUACCAUCGAUCCAAACACUGAUCUUAUCGUAUUUAUCGCAUCUAUACCCACACGCAACAUUACAAGUUCUCAAAAUGUCGGUAUUUUAGCAUUUCGGCUUCUCAGCAGAUAUUAAUCUAAGCUACUACGAGGGUUAGUACACACCUGUUAUGGGUUGAAGUUGAAACGUUUCCAUAAUCAAUCACUUACGAUAACCACCACUUUUCACUCAAACUUAACUAAUCCAAUAUCAAUAUAUGUAAAUCCUAAGCACAUCAGUCAUACGGAACAUAAGGGCAUAUUCGUCAUUUUACCAUACAAGGGUAUUAUGGUCACUUUACCCUAUAGGGGCUUUACGAUCUUUUUACCUAUUAGGGGUAUUUCAGUUAUUUCAUCCUACAAGGGUGUUUUGGUAAAUCUACAAACCAAGGGUAUUUUAGUAAUUUUGUAAACUAAUGGUAUUUCUAUAAUUUUUAGAAAGUCAAGGGUAUUUUUGUAAUUUUGUAAAUCCAGGGUAUUUUGGUAAUUUUACAAAUUGAGGGUAUUUCGGUAAUUUCACAAACUAGUGGUAUUUCGGUAAUUUUACAAACUAGGGGUAUUUUGGUAAUUUUACAAACUAGGGGUAUUUUGGUAAUUUUACAAACUAGGGGUAUUUUGGUAAUUCUAUCCUACAGGGGUAUUUCAGUAAUUUCACAAUCGAAGGUAAAACGGUAAUUUUGUAAACUAAAGGUAAAAUGGUAAUUUUGUAAAUCGAGGGUAAAACGGUAAUUCUAUAAAUCGAGGGUAAAAUGGUAAUUCUAUAAAUCAAGGGUAAAACGAUAAUUCUAUAAAUCGAGGGUAAAAUGGUAAUUCUGUAAAUCGAGGGUAAAAUGGUAAUUUUACAAAUUGAGGGCUUUUCAGUAAUUUGGUAACCUAAAGUAUUCUAAACAGAGAUAACAAUACGAAUGGGCCUAAAGCCUAUUCUCGGCCCAAAUGGGCCCAUACGCUCGUGUGGCCCUUUUAGCCCAAAUCUAGCCACAAAUAUGAGAUUCACCUAGCCUAGUCCAAUAUUUACUACACAAUCAAACAACUUAUCUAAUUGGCGCCCAUUAGGCCCGCAUGACCCCUUUCGGCCCAUCGCAGCCAGAAGUAGCUAUCCUACAACUAGAGUAGUGAGAAAUACACACCUGAUUGGUGACUGGAGUUAAUCCACGCUUCGAGCACCCUUAGCCAAUGCCCAACCCAAAGGAGCACGCCAUACAGCGAAAGGGAUCAGCCAAGAAAGGUACCUUUACUCUCCUCAUGGUUCCCUCUAUUUAAAGCCAGCUUCGCAUCCACUCUUAUGUUAGCUUCCCGAUGUGGGAUCCCUCCAACAUCAGAGUUUAAAUUCAACACCAACUCUUGCCGCCCCCUGUUAGCAAAAUAAAUGCUCCUUGCUU